CAGUAGCGUAUAUUAAAGUUGUUGCAGUUAAAAUGCUCGUAGUUGAAGUUCGGAUGCAGCAGAGCUUGGAAACGCUGUUAUGGUGAUUCCGUUGCUUUUGCUUGUCCACAGUGCGUUGCAAGUACGUAUGUGCUUGUGCGUGCAUUUUACUUUGAGAAACAUAGGGUGUUCCACGCAUGUUACGGCAUGAAUAUUCCAGCAUGGGAUAAUCUGGUACGACUUCCAAUCUGCCAUUUUGGUUCGUAGGUUGGAAGUAAUGAUUAAUAGGGACUGUCGGGGGCAUUCGUAUUCCGUUGUCAGAGGUGAAAUUCUUGGAUUUACGGAAGACGAACAUCUGCGAAAGCAUUUGCCAAGGAUGUUUUCAUUGA
This 368-nucleotide ribosomal RNA is filed under the name uncultured eukaryote. RNAcentral describes it as "partial 18S ribosomal RNA". It matches the Rfam family "Eukaryotic small subunit ribosomal RNA", at positions 592 to 976 of the family's 1831-position model. The record is from RNAcentral.